ACACCCUCAAUCCAACCUAACCAA
This 24-nucleotide non-coding RNA is filed under the name Arabidopsis thaliana (thale cress). The record is from RNAcentral. Lineage: Eukaryota; Viridiplantae; Streptophyta; Magnoliopsida; Brassicales; Brassicaceae.